This 425-nucleotide ribosomal RNA is filed under the name uncultured bacterium. RNAcentral describes it as "bacterial SSU rRNA". It matches the Rfam family "Bacterial small subunit ribosomal RNA", at positions 28 to 419 of the family's 1533-position model. The record is from RNAcentral.
GAUAAACGCUGGCGGCGCACAUAAGACAUGCAAGUCGAACGAAAGUCGUUAUAAAAUGGAUUGAAGAUUCAUCGGAAAGAAAUUUUAUAACAAUGGCUUUAGUGGCGGACUGGUGAGUAACACGUAAGCAAUCUGCCUAUUAGAGGGGAAUAACAGUGAGAAAUCACUGCUAAUACCGCAUAAGCUUGUAGUAACGCAUGUUACAGCAAGAAAAGGAGCAAUCCGCUAAUAGAUGAGCUUGCGGCUGAUUAGCUAGUUGGUUAGGUAACGGCUCACCAAGGCGACGAUCAGUAGCCGGUCUGAGAGGAUGAACGGCCACAUUGGGACUGAGAUACGGCCCAGACUCCUACGGGAGGCAGCAGUGGGAAUAUUGGGCAAUGGGGGAAACCCUGACCAGCAACGCCGCGUGAAGGAUGAAGGCCUUC